RNAcentral lists this ribosomal RNA (537 nucleotides) under uncultured bacterium. RNAcentral's name for it is "bacterial SSU rRNA". It matches the Rfam family "Bacterial small subunit ribosomal RNA", at positions 9 to 527 of the family's 1533-position model. The record is from RNAcentral.
GAGUUUGAUCCUGGCUCAGAGUGAACGCUGGCGGCAGGCCUAACACAUGCAAGUCGAGCGGCAGCGCGUCCGACCACCCUCGGGUGGUCGGAUGGCGGCGAGCGGCGGACGGGUGAGGAAUGCAUCGGAAUCUGCCUCGUUGUGGGGGAUAACGUAGGGAAACUUACGCUAAUACCGCAUACGACCUACGGGUGAAAGUGGGGGACCUUCGGGCCUCACGCGAUGAGAUGAGCCGAUGCCGGAUUAGCUAGUUGGCGGGGUAAAGGCCCACCAAGGCGACGAUCCGUAGCUGGUCUGAGAGGAUGAUCAGCCACACUGGAACUGAGACACGGUCCAGACUCCUACGGGAGGCAGCAGUGGGGAAUAUUGGACAAUGGGGGCAACCCUGAUCCAGCCAUGCCGCGUGUGUGAAGAAGGCCUUCGGGUUGUAAAGCACUUUUGUUGGGGAAGAAACCGGCCGGGUUAAUACCCUGGUUGAAUGACGGUACCCAAAGAAUAAGCACCGGCUAACUUCGUGCCAGCAGCCGCGGUAAUCCC